GCGAAAAAGGCACCUUUCCUAAUAUUCUUCCCAAAUUCGCACACAUCAUCUAUCAACCAAAAUCCACUUCGCACACAUCGAUCCAUCAACCAAAAUCGACACGAAACCCUAAUCCUAUAAGCCCAAAUUUCGGGCGAGUUUCACAUUCAAAUCGAGGAAAAUAACCCAGGGUGCAAGUGGAUGCAUUAUCUGUUGCACUAUUCAGAGCUCUGAAUCUUACAACCCGCAAUGAGAUUGCAGCAUGAGGUAUGCAACUUUAUACUUCUUUUAAGAUGUUGGCUGUUGCUGGUGCUCCUUAUGAUACAAGAGGAAGUUAUUGGUAUCAAAGACUCUCAUAGGCUGGUUCCAAAGAUUUUGGAGUGAACUACCGGGAAAUUCCAUUGAAUUUAUUUUUGUAUUUUUAAAAAUUACUUUUCACAAGGGGCACAGACCUUUGUAGAAAGCCCCCUUUGUACAAUGGGCUGGAACCGUCGUAGAAGACCUUGAGUCAACAACGACAGGGGAUACCACAAUGGGCCAUGCCCAUUGUAGAAUUGUUUUUUGCCCCUUGGUAAAAGUCAUUUUUCUUGUAGUGAGUGGGAAUGGCCAUUCCAUUGGAAUAAAAAUCCAUUCCUGGGAAUGAAAAUUUAUUCCACAACUAAACUUAUGGAAUGACCAUUCCAUUUUGAAGUAAUUUAUUUAAAAAAAUCAACUUCCUAAAACACCCUCGUAUUUCAAGUCAAAAAACCACAAUUUCCUUCCACCACAAUCAUAUCCGCCUUUCAUCACCACCACUACCACCAUCGACUUUCACCAUCGCCCACCACUUUUCACCACCA
Molecule: long non-coding RNA, 818 nt
Organism: Cornus florida
Lineage: Eukaryota; Viridiplantae; Streptophyta; Magnoliopsida; Cornales; Cornaceae
Exons: 4
Source: RefSeq, a predicted model, not a curated record